CAGCACCUCAAGUGGUCAGGAUGAUUAUUGGGCCUAAAGCAUCCGUAGCCGGCGCUGUAAGUUUUCGGUUAAAUCUGUACGCUCAACGUACAGGCUGCCGGGAAUACUGCAGCGCUAGGGAGUGGGAGAGGUAGACGGUACUCGGUAGGAAGGGGUAAAAUCCUUUGAUCUAUUGAUGACCACCUGUGGCGAAGGCGGUCUACCAGAACACGUCCGACGGUGAGGGAUGAAAGCUGAGGGAGCAAUCCGGAUUAGAUACCCGAGUAGUCC
Molecule: ribosomal RNA, 270 nt
Filed under: uncultured archaeon
Lineage: Archaea
Description: partial 16S ribosomal RNA
Rfam family: Archaeal small subunit ribosomal RNA
Source: RNAcentral